CAACAAGCAAGCUUGAGAACAUGGAGAUCCCUUCUGUAUUAAAGAAAAUGACACGCGUGCAAUGGAGAACAUUUAUUAAGCACUUACUGUGUACCAGGCAACCUGAUGAGGAAGCCAAGGCAACAGGAGGUUAACCGGCCCAACAACAGAUCCAAUAAAGCACCAAGAUUUCACGUCUGG
This 180-nucleotide long non-coding RNA is filed under the name Mustela putorius furo (domestic ferret). RNAcentral describes it as "lncRNA (ENSMPUG00000029210.1)". The record is from RNAcentral. Lineage: Eukaryota; Metazoa; Chordata; Mammalia; Carnivora; Mustelidae.